RNAcentral lists this microRNA precursor (78 nucleotides) under Cebus imitator (Panamanian white-faced capuchin). Its description in RNAcentral is "miRNA (ENSCCAG00000010400.1)". The record is from RNAcentral. Lineage: Eukaryota; Metazoa; Chordata; Mammalia; Primates; Cebidae.
GGUUGGUGCAAAAGUAAUUGUGGUUUUUGCCAUUAAAGUAAUUGCAAAAAUCACAAUUACUUUUGCACCAACUUAAUA